RNAcentral lists this ribosomal RNA (497 nucleotides) under uncultured bacterium. RNAcentral describes it as "partial 16S ribosomal RNA". It matches the Rfam family "Bacterial small subunit ribosomal RNA", at positions 28 to 507 of the family's 1533-position model. The record is from RNAcentral.
GAUGAACGCUGGCGGCGUGCCUAAUACAUGCAAGUCGAGCGAACAGACGAGGAGCUUGCUCCGCUGACGUUAGCGGCUGACGGGCGAGUGACACGUGGAUAGCCGACCUCUAUGACUGGGAUGAUUACGGGAAAACGGUGCUAAUACCGGGUCAUAUAAUGAACGGCAUGGUUCAAUAGUGAAAGACGGUUUUUGUGGUACAUAUAGAGGGAUCCGCGCCGUAUUAGCUAGUUGGUAAGGUAACGGCUUACCAAGGCAACGAUGCGUAGCUGACCUGAGAGGGUGAUCAGCCACACUGGAACUGCAACACGGUCCAGACUCCUACGGGCGGCAGCAGUAGGGACUCUUCCGCAAUGGGCGAAAGCCUGAUGGAGCAACGCCGCGUGAGUGAUGACGGUCUUCGGAUCGUAAAACUCUGUUAUUAGGGAAGAACAAAUGUGUAAGUAACUAUACACGUCUUGACGGUACCUAAUCAAAAAGCCACGGCUAACUACGUG